RNAcentral lists this long non-coding RNA (203 nucleotides) under Rattus norvegicus (Norway rat). Its description in RNAcentral is "long non-coding RNA NONRATT031957". The record is from RNAcentral. Lineage: Eukaryota; Metazoa; Chordata; Mammalia; Rodentia; Muridae.
CAGCGCUCUGGACUGUGCUCUUUAAGAUGGCUCUUUGGAAAGGAACAAUCAUCUGGGAACCAGAGCAAAGUGCAGAUGCGGAGGGUGUGUGCAGGAUGGAGAAUCAUCCCAGAUACUGCCACCCAGGAGCACUGCUACACCUGCAUUGGUUGAGCAUCAGAUGCAUGGACCCGACUCUCUUUCACAGUGUGGUCAUCGUUUGA